ACAGCCACACCAAAUCAAAACACCUAUUCCCAUAUGAUCACCGAAGUUAAGCAAUCUCAAACCUGGUUAGUACCUAGAUGGGUGACUGCUUGGAUAUACCAGGUGCUGUAUG
Acanthosepion pharaonis is the source of this 112-nucleotide non-coding RNA. The record is from the annotation of a GenBank genome assembly. NCBI's taxonomy places the organism in Eukaryota, Metazoa, Mollusca, Cephalopoda, Sepiida, Sepiidae.